GGAAUACUCCCUCUGUCCGGAAAUACUUGUCAUCAAAAUGAAUAAAAGGGAUGUAUCUAGAUGUAGUUCUAGAUACAUCCCUUUUAUUCAUUUUGAUGACAAGUAUUUCCGGACGGAGAGAGUACUUG
Molecule: non-coding RNA, 128 nt
Organism: Triticum urartu
Lineage: Eukaryota; Viridiplantae; Streptophyta; Magnoliopsida; Poales; Poaceae
Source: Rfam